This is a long non-coding RNA of Raphanus sativus (radish), 971 nucleotides long. RefSeq lists it as uncharacterized. The record is from RefSeq and is a predicted model, not a curated record. The transcript is spliced from 2 exons. Lineage: Eukaryota; Viridiplantae; Streptophyta; Magnoliopsida; Brassicales; Brassicaceae.
UUCUUUUCUGCUUUUCUCCAUACGAAGAUACAAGAGCAGUCUCAGAUUCAAUCCGCUUGACUUGCUCAAAUUCUCAAUUCAUCUCUACUCUCUAGUCACCCUGGAUCGGAGCUUCAUCACAACACUCCUUUUGACACCAUAGCUCAUUAUCCCACCACCACCAGCUCUUCACCGCCAUCGCCAUAUUACUCGUCCGCCAUCUCUGACUCUGAUUUUGUUUUCAUUUUACAAGAAAGAAGAUGAAUUCGUGUUACCAUACUCACUCCUCCUUCCUCAAGCUUCCCCAUUUCUUCAUCACUGUGGAAGGCGCCUGCUGCAACAACCGCCGCUCUUCUUAGAUCAGAUAUCGUUCUCACUGAUAAGGCUCGUGGUUCUGUUUCUCGUUCUGGAUCUGUGCGUACAUACCGCACUCUCUCACUCAAGCUGGCGCGUGAUCAGAGGGUGCAGUCAUUCACAUGAUCACGAUCAUCAUCAUGAGGCGGCGAGUAUGAUGAAGUUGCUGGAGGAGCUGGCUGAGGAGGAGGAUAUGAAGUUGUGUGGGUUUGGGCCAUGUCUCCAUCACCAUCACGAAUCAAGUUCUAGCCUUUCUGGAUUUGAUACUGAUGGAUUUGGGAGUGAGGACGAUGAAGCUGAUGAUGAAUAAUCCGGCAAAGUAUGUUGGUCUGAGGGGAUUUGGAUAGCCGAUGUGGGAAGAGUCCCUCUGUUGAGUCUUAUCACAGAGGAAAAUAAGAGAUAUUUGGAGACAAAGAGGACUAAGAUGGGUCACAUGUAUGGCUUGAAGUUCAAUUGUGAUGUUGUGGAGGAGACUGAUAACUGCUAAUGGUGAAACUUUCAAGCUUGUGCGAUUUUUUGUACACUCAAUUGUUUCUUCAACAUGUCAAUACACAAGCUUUUCAAAAAAUCAUAUGAUUAACAGAUGUAAUCGUAUCAAAUAUAUUUUUGUUGAAAUAAACUUUAUGGCUUAUUGUUUA